GAAAUGCGAUAAGUAAUGUGAAUUGCAGAAUUCAGUGAAUCAUCGAAUCUUUGAACGCACCUUGCGCUCCUUGGUAUUCCUUGGAGCAUGCCUGUUUGAGUAUCAUGAAAUCUUCAAAGUAAAUCUUUUGUUAACUCAAUUGGUUUCUACUUUGGUAUUGGAGGUCUUUGCAGUUUCACACCUGCUCCUCUUUGUUCAUUAGCUGGAUCUCAGUGUUAUGCUUGUUUCCACUCGGCGUGAUAAGUUAUCUAUCGCUGAGGACACUGUAAAAGGUUGCCAAGGUAAAUGCAGAUGAACCGCUUCUAAUAGUCCAUUGACUUGGACAAUACUUUUAUGAUCUGAUCUCAAAUCAGGUAGGACUACCCGCUGAACUUAAGC
Molecule: unclassified non-coding RNA, 378 nt
Filed under: plant metagenome
Description: partial contains 5.8S ribosomal RNA, internal transcribed spacer 2, and large subunit ribosomal RNA
Rfam family: 5.8S ribosomal RNA (bases 1-105)
Source: RNAcentral